Molecule: non-coding RNA, 125 nt
Organism: Brachypodium distachyon (stiff brome)
Lineage: Eukaryota; Viridiplantae; Streptophyta; Magnoliopsida; Poales; Poaceae
Source: Rfam
AAACUACUACCUCCGUUCCAUAAUUCUCGUCGAAAUAUUACAUGUAUCUAGACGUCUUUUAUAAAUAGAUACAUCCAAUUUUGGGCAAAUUUGAGACAAGAAUUAUGAAACGGAGGGAGUAGUAA